AUGCUGGGGUCUGUCACCCUCCUUCUCUCUGCCCUGCUCCCUGCCGUCCAGACGGCACUCACCAUGGACCAGCCGAUGGUCUCCAUCACCAAACAGGCCGGGACAACGGCAUCGUUUCUCUGCAAGUUUUCCGGUCAAAUCAUCAACUCCAUCCACUGGUAUCGCCAGCAGCCUGGGAAGGGUCCCCAGCGCCUGCUCUACUAUAACCUGGCCAUGUCUCAACCCACGCUGGAUUCAGGAUUCAGCUCAGAUAAAAUCUAUGUUUACAAGGGCAAAGAUCAAAGCUCCACCUUGGUUGUAAGGAAUCUGGGUGAGAGUGAUGUCGGCAGCUAUUACUGUGCCAGCUGGGACUCCACGAUGACACAGGUCCCUCCACCCCUUGUACAAAAAAAUCAGUUUGUGGUCCCCAGGAGCAGGGCCCGCCCCCGACAAUUCCGGCACUUAAUCUCACCCUUUGUUUUGUUCUCCUCAAUGAACUAA
Molecule: non-coding RNA, 480 nt
Organism: Tachyglossus aculeatus (Australian echidna)
Lineage: Eukaryota; Metazoa; Chordata; Mammalia; Monotremata; Tachyglossidae
Source: the annotation of a RefSeq genome assembly